UAAUGAAUCCCUUUAGUUCAGAGAUCAAAAGGAUGAUUGGAAGCUUCCCUGACAGUUUUAUGUCAUUGCCAUCUGUCUGUCCUGCUGUGUUUUCCCUCCUGGACUUCCAAGGUGCUAUUUCCUCUUGCUGGAAGCUACUUCUUCUACAGCAAGUGUGGCAGAAAGCAAAGCAUGACAGCAUCACCCUUUGGAAACCUGUAAGUUCAUGCAGAUUCUCUUUGGCUGUACCCUCACUUUGUUGCUCCUGCUGUGGUGUGAUAACCUCUGACAGGAGUGUGAAGCAGAUAGCAGGUAAAUCCCCCCAGGGAGAGUCAUCACCUGACAUCCUUCUGUGUUCCCCUGAAUCACAGCUUGGUUUUAGUCCUUUAAAGUACCAGCUGCUGCUCUUGUUAGAGUUGCAGUUGAAAUCCCUUUCUGUUUAGGGCUUUUCACUAGUAUUUACCAUAUGAAAAAUGCCCUCAGGUGGUACAGUGACUUAGAAAGACUGCAGUUUGCUUCCCUUCCCACUGCAGAUGUACGGAGCCAUGUUGCAAGCCAAAUGUCUGAAAGAUCCACAUGAACACUAUUCCCUGUGCAGCACUGUGCAUCUUCUGCUUCCCUUUUCCAGUCAUUUCCUGGUGCAGAGAUACAGGUGAAAUGUAAAGAGAAAAUUCAGUGCAUUGCUUCCACAGCCUUCAUAUUUUGGAUUAUCUCAUUCCAGUCCCAGCAGCUAUGAAUAAACAGGAAUAUCUCCUGCCAGCAUAUGGAAAUGGCAUUGCCUGGAAGCCCACCCCUGUUCUGAAGCAGUGGGUUCAAAAAUACACUGUGCAAAAGUGAUGUCUCCGGAACUGUUUGCAUUAAAUAAACCUGUCAGGAUGCCAGCCCAGCUUUACUUUUACCAUGUAGCUUCCAUCACAGAAUACAGUAAUAAAGGCAUCCAAAAGCCCAGUGAGUUUUUGUUGUUGGAGUAACACUGCAGGUGUCUGCUGGGUUCAUCCCUUGACAGUCCAAAGGUGUCUGAAGAAGACUGACAGACUUCGGUCCCAUCUAUUCCUGUAUCCACACACUGGAGAAUGUGUUGGAUAUGAUCUUGGUCACUGACCUUUUGAAAACACCUACUCUGCAUGUCUUUUGUGAGACUCCUCAAAAUACACAUGGAAUAAAACCAGUGACAU
Molecule: long non-coding RNA, 1154 nt
Organism: Pezoporus occidentalis (night parrot)
Lineage: Eukaryota; Metazoa; Chordata; Aves; Psittaciformes; Psittacidae
Exons: 2
Source: RefSeq, a predicted model, not a curated record